This 449-nucleotide ribosomal RNA is filed under the name uncultured bacterium. Its description in RNAcentral is "partial 16S ribosomal RNA". It matches the Rfam family "Bacterial small subunit ribosomal RNA", at positions 29 to 523 of the family's 1533-position model. The record is from RNAcentral.
AACGAACGCUGGCGGCAUGCCUAACACAUGCAAGUCGAACGAGAUCUUCGGGUCUAGUGGCGCACGGGUGCGUAACGCGUGGGAAUCUGCCCUUUGGUUCGGAAUAACAGUUGGAAACGACUGCUAAUACCGGAUGAUGACGAAAGUCCAAAGAUUUAUCGCCAGAGGAUGAGCCCGCGUAGGAUUGGCUAGUUGGUGUGGUAAAGGCGCACCAAGGCGACGAUCCUUAGCUGGUCUGAGAGGAUGAUCAGCCACACUGGGACUGAGACACGGCCCAGACUCCUACGGGAGGCAGCAGUGGGGAAUAUUGGACAAUGGGCGAAAGCCUGAUCCAGCAAUGCCGCGUGAGUGAUGAAGGCCUUAGGGUUGUAAAGCUCUUCUACCCGGGAUGAUAAUGACAGUACCGGGAGAAUAAGCUCCGGCUAACUCCGUGCCAGCCGCCGCGGUAA